UUAAGUUAUUAAGGGCGCACGGUGGAUGCCUUGGCACUAGAAGCCGAUGAAGGACGUUACUAACGACGAUAUGCUUUGGGGAGCUGUAAGUAAGCUUUGAUCCAGAGAUUUCCGAAUGGGGAAACCCAGCAUGAGUUAUGUCAUGUUAUCGAUAUGUGAAUACAUAGCAUAUCAGAAGGCACACCCGGAGAACUGAAACAUCUUAGUACCCGGAGGAAGAGAAAGAAAAUUCGAUUCCCUUAGUAGCGGCGAGCGAAACGGGAAGAGCCCAAACCAACAAGCUUGCUUGUUGGGGUUGUAGGACACUCUAUACGGAGUUACAAAGGACGACAUUAGACGAAUCAUCUGGAAAGAUGAAUCAAAGAAGGUAAUAAUCCUGUAGUCGAAAAUGUUGUCUCUCUUGAGUGGAUCCUGAGUACGACGGAGCACGUGAAAUUCCGUCGGAAUCUGGGAGGACCAUCUCCUAAGGCUAAAUACUCUCUAGUGACCGAUAGUGAACCAGUACCGUGAGGGAAAGGUGAAAAGCACCCCGGAAGGGGAGUGAAAUAGAACCUGAAACCGUGUGCUUACAAGUAGUCAGAGCCCGUUAAUGGGUGAUGGCGUGCCUUUUGUAGAAUGAACCGGCGAGUUACGAUUUGAUGCAAGGUUAAGCAGUAAAUGUGGAGCCGUAGCGAAAGCGAGUCUGAAUAGGGGCGUUUAGUAUUUGGUCGUAGACCCGAAACCAGGUGAUCUACCCUUGGUCAGGUUGAAGUUCAGGUAACACUGAAUGGAGGACCGAACCGACUUACGUUGAAAAGUGAGCGGAUGAACUGAGGGUAGCGGAGAAAUUCCAAUCGAACCUGGAGAUAGCUGGUUCUCUCCGAAAUAGCUUUAGGGCUAGCCUCAAGUGAUGAUUAUUGGAGGUAGAGCACUGUUUGGACGAGGGGCCCCGUCUCGGGUUACCGAAUUCAGACAAACUCCGAAUGCCAAUUAAUUUAACUUGGGAGUCAGAUCAUGGGUGAUAAGGUCCGUGUUCGAAAGGGAAACAGCCCAGACCACCAGCUAAGGUCCCAAAAUAUAUGUUAAGUGGAAAAGGAUGUGGCGUUGCCCAGACAACUAGGAUGUUGGCUUAGAAGCAGCCAUCAUUUAAAAGAGUGCGUAAUAGCUCACUAGUCGAGUGACACUGCGCCGUAAAUGUACCGGGGCUAAACAUAUUACCGAAGCUGUGGAUUGUCCUUUGGACAAUGGUAGGAGAGCGUUCUAAGGGCGUUGAAGCAUGAUCGUAAGGACAUGUGGAGCGCUUAGAAGUGAGAAUGCCGGUGUGAGUAGCGAAAGACGGGUGAGAAUCCCGUCCACCGAUUGACUAAGGUUUCCAGAGGAAGGCUCGUCCGCUCUGGGUUAGUCGGGUCCUAAGCUGAGGCCGACAGGCGUAGGCGAUGGAUAACAGGUUGAUAUUCCUGUACCACCUAUAAUCGUUUUAAUCGAUGGGGGGACGCAGUAGGAUAGGCGAAGCGUGCGAUUGGAUUGCACGUCUAAGCAGUAAGGCUGAGUAUUAGGCAAAUCCGGUACUCAUUAAGGCUGAGCUGUGAUGGGGAGAAGACAUUGUGUCUUCGAGUCGUUGAUUUCACACUGCCGAGAAAAGCCUCUAGAUAGAAAAUAGGUGCCCGUACCGCAAACCGACACAGGUAGUCAAGAUGAGAAUUCUAAGGUGAGCGAGCGAACUCUCGUUAAGGAACUCGGCAAAAUGACCCCGUAACUUCGGGAGAAGGGGCGCUCUUUAGGGUUAACGCCCAGAAGAGCCGCAGUGAAUAGGCCCAAGCGACUGUUUAUCAAAAACACAGGUCUCUGCUAAACCGUAAGGUGAUGUAUAGGGGCUGACGCCUGCCCGGUGCUGGAAGGUUAAGAGGAGUGGUUAGCUUCUGCGAAGCUACGAAUCGAAGCCCCAGUAAACGGCGGCCGUAACUAUAACGGUCCUAAGGUAGCGAAAUUCCUUGUCGGGUAAGUUCCGACCCGCACGAAAGGCGUAACGAUUUGGGCACUGUCUCAACGAGAGACUCGGUGAAAUCAUAGUACCUGUGAAGAUGCAGGUUACCCGCGACAGGACGGAAAGACCCCGUGGAGCUUUACUGUAGCCUGAUAUUGAAAUUCGGCACAGCUUGUACAGGAUAGGUAGGAGCCUUUGAAACGUGAGCGCUAGCUUACGUGGAGGCGCUGGUGGGAUACUACCCUAGCUGUGUUGGCUUUCUAACCCGCACCACUUAUCGUGGUGGGAGACAGUGUCAGGCGGGCAGUUUGACUGGGGCGGUCGCCUCCUAAAAGGUAACGGAGGCGCUCAAAGGUUCCCUCAGAAUGGUUGGAAAUCAUUCAUAGAGUGUAAAGGCAUAAGGGAGCUUGACUGCGAGACCUACAAGUCGAGCAGGGUCGAAAGACGGACUUAGUGAUCCGGUGGUUCCGCAUGGAAGGGCCAUCGCUCAACGGAUAAAAGCUACCCCGGGGAUAACAGGCUUAUCUCCCCCAAGAGUUCACAUCGACGGGGAGGUUUGGCACCUCGAUGUCGGCUCAUCGCAUCCUGGGGCUGUAGUCGGUCCCAAGGGUUGGGCUGUUCGCCCAUUAAAGCGGUACGCGAGCUGGGUUCAGAACGUCGUGAGACAGUUCGGUCCCUAUCCGUCGUGGGCGUAGGAAAUUUGAGAGGAGCUGUCCUUAGUACGAGAGGACCGGGAUGGACAUACCUCUGGUGUACCAGUUGUCGUGCCAACGGCAUAGCUGGGUAGCUAUGUGUGGACGGGAUAAGUGCUGAAAGCAUCUAAGCAUGAAGCCCCCCUCAAGAUGAGAUUUCCCAACUUCGGUUAUAAGAUCCCUCAAAGAUGAUGAGGUUAAUAGGUUCGAGGUGGAAGCAUGGUGACAUGUGGAGCUGACGAAUACUAAUCGAUCGAAGACUUAAUCAA
This 2924-nucleotide ribosomal RNA is filed under the name Staphylococcus aureus subsp. aureus CIG1605. Its description in RNAcentral is "bacterial LSU rRNA". It matches the Rfam family "Bacterial large subunit ribosomal RNA". Lineage: Bacteria; Bacillati; Bacillota; Bacilli; Caryophanales; Staphylococcaceae. The record is from RNAcentral.